GCGCCCUUUUCAAAACCGAGCUGAUGGGAGAGUUGUCUGGUUCGCAGGCUCCCCGAGGAAUCAAUGAAUCUUGAACAACAUCAUUCAUUCACCAGUAUUUAUGGAGCAUCUGUGAUGUGCCAGGAUCCCAUAUAGG
This is a long non-coding RNA of Lemur catta (Ring-tailed lemur), 136 nucleotides long. RefSeq lists it as uncharacterized. The record is from RefSeq and is a predicted model, not a curated record. The transcript has 3 exons. NCBI's taxonomy places the organism in Eukaryota, Metazoa, Chordata, Mammalia, Primates, Lemuridae.